RNAcentral lists this ribosomal RNA (913 nucleotides) under Prolixibacter bellariivorans. RNAcentral's name for it is "bacterial SSU rRNA". It matches the Rfam family "Bacterial small subunit ribosomal RNA", at positions 83 to 997 of the family's 1533-position model. The record is from RNAcentral. Lineage: Bacteria; Pseudomonadati; Bacteroidota; Bacteroidia; Marinilabiliales; Prolixibacteraceae.
GGGGGUACACGAGUGGCGCACGGGUGAGUAACGCGUAUGCAACCUGCCCUGUACAGGGGGAUAGCCCGGAGAAAUCCGGAUUAAUACCCCAUAGUUUUUAUGAGUCGCAUGGCUUAUAAAAUAAAGUUUCGGCGGUACAGGAUGGGCAUGCGUGGCAUUAGCUAGUUGGUAAGGUAACGGCUUACCAAGGCGACGAUGCCUAGGGGUUCUGAGAGGAUGAUCCCCCACACUGGGACUGAGACACGGCCCAGACUCCUACGGGAGGCAGCAGUGAGGAAUAUUGGUCAAUGGGCGAGAGCCUGAACCAGCCAUCCCGCGUGCAGGAUGACGGCCCUACGGGUUGUAAACUGCUUUUAUGUACCAAGAAUGUGUUCUACGUGUAGGAUUUUGACGGUAGUACAUGAAUAAGCAUCGGCUAACUCCGUGCCAGCAGCCGCGGUAAUACGGAGGAUGCAAGCGUUAUCCGGAUUCAUUGGGUUUAAAGGGUGCGUAGGCGGCUAUAUAAGUCAGUGGUGAAAUGCUGCAGCUCAACUGUAGAACUGCCAUUGAAACUGUAUAGCUUGAGUGCGCCUGAGGUAGGCGGAAUGAGUAGUGUAGCGGUGAAAUGCUUAGAUAUUACUCAGAACACCGAUUGCGAAGGCAGCUUACUAAAGCGUAACUGACGCUGAUGCACGAAAGCGUGGGGAGCGAACAGGAUUAGAUACCCUGGUAGUCCACGCCGUAAACGAUGAUAACUCGCUGUUGGCGAUACACAGUCAGCGGCUUAGCGAAAGCAUUAAGUUAUCCACCUGGGGAGUACGAUCGCAAGGUUGAAACUCAAAGGAAUUGACGGGGGCCCGCACAAGCGGAGGAACAUGUGGUUUAAUUCGAUGAUACGCGAGGAACCUUACCUGGGCUUAAAUGUGGAUUGACC